This is a non-coding RNA of Caenorhabditis elegans, 173 nucleotides long. NCBI's taxonomy places the organism in Eukaryota, Metazoa, Nematoda, Chromadorea, Rhabditida, Rhabditidae. The record is from Ensembl.
AAUGAAUAGAAAUGUCAGAAUCACUCGAAAAACUGCUACUUCAUGUAAGCGUUGUUGCGUGAAUAAUUGAGACAGAAAAAGAACCGAGAAGAAGAGUUGUGAUGAGUGCACUUUCUUAGUUAAUUGCUUUUUUUCUUUUCUUCUGCAAUUGUUUUUUGUGUUUCAAGAGCUUA